Long non-coding RNA from Mauremys mutica (yellowpond turtle), 531 nucleotides. RefSeq lists it as uncharacterized. The record is from RefSeq and is a predicted model, not a curated record. The transcript has 3 exons. NCBI's taxonomy places the organism in Eukaryota, Metazoa, Chordata, Testudines, Geoemydidae.
CAGAGAGGAGGUUGGGGAGCUAGAUUGUGGGUUUUGAAGAGAUCUGCAAGGUCCUCAAAAUACAGUUAAGAAAAACAGCCAAGAUUGUCCUGUACUUGUGGGCAAGUGUCCUGAGAGGAAGCUUAGAGGAGAAAAGGGACUGACCCAGCAACCCAGACACAUCACGGUUGAACAAGGAGUGUGCCAGAAAGGGGCAGCCCAGAGCUCGGCAUGAGUCCUGCAGCACUUUGAUGCUGUGCUGAACUUGGGACCUGGAGCAGCCCUUGAUGAGCCAGUCGUUGACGUUCGAGUAGAUCUGGAUACCCCGAUAUCUGAGGGCCAGGCUGUCAAAGGGGAGGUCCUGUAGUGAGAGCUGGGCUUCCGCAGCCAGCCCAGAAGACAUCAGCCACGAUGCCCGCCUCAUCGCCACCGUGGCCAUGGACCUUGUGGCCGAGUCCGCUGCAUCUGAAACGGCCUGGAAGGAGGUCCUCGCCACGUUUUCCCCGCCUCGAGGAUAGCCAGGAACUCUGCCUUGGACUCCUCGGGCAGCAU